This 324-nucleotide unclassified non-coding RNA is filed under the name uncultured fungus. RNAcentral's name for it is "partial contains 5.8S ribosomal RNA and internal transcribed spacer 2". The stretch from base 1 to 133 matches the Rfam family "5.8S ribosomal RNA", at positions 22 to 154 of the family's 154-position model. Lineage: Eukaryota; Fungi. The record is from RNAcentral.
UGGUUCUGGCAUCGAUGAAGAACGCAGCGAAAUGCGAUAAGUAGUGUGAAUUGCAGAAUUCAGUGAAUCAUCGAAUCUUUGAACGCACAUUGCGCCCCUUGGUAUUCCAUGGGGCAUGCCUGUUCGAGCGUCAUUUGUACCCUCAAGCUAUGCUUGGUGUUGGGUGUUUGUCUCUUCUUUGUGACGAGACUCGCCUUAAAAUAAUUGGCAGCCAGUGUUUUGGUUUUGAAGCGCAGCACAAGUCGCGAUUCAAGCCUAUAGCACCCGUUCCCAGAAAGCUCUCUUAUCACUUUUGACCUCGGAUCAGGUAGGGAUACCCGCUGA